UUGGAGGGCAAGUCUGGUGCCAGCAGCCGCGGUAAUUCCAGCUCCAAUAGCGUAUAUUAAAGUUGUUGCAGUUAAAAAGCUCGUAGUUGAAUUUCGGGAUCAGCAGGUUGGUCGUGCCUCUGGUAUGCACUGGUUUCGCUGAUUCCUCCUUUCUGAAGAACUGUAAUGUCAUUAAUUUGGUGUUGCAGGGAAACAGGACUGUUACUUUGAAAAAAUUAGAGUGUUUAAAGCAGGCUAACGCCUGAAUACAUUAGCAUGGAAUAAUGAAAUAGGACGUUUGAUCCUAUUUUGUUGGUUUCUAGGAUUGACGUAAUGAUUAAUAGGGAUAGUUGGGGGCAUUAGUAUUCAAUUGUCAGAGGUGAAAUUCUUGGAUUUAUUGAAGACUAACUACUGCGAAAGCAUUUGCCAAGGAUGUUUUCAUUAAUCAAGAACGAAAGUUAGGGGAUCGAAGACGAUCAGAUACCGUCGUAGUCUUAACCAUAAACUAUGCCGACUAGGGAUCGGAUGAUGUUAAUCUUUUAAUGACUCAUUCGGCGCCUUACGGGAAAC
RNAcentral lists this ribosomal RNA (549 nucleotides) under uncultured Glomeromycotina. RNAcentral's name for it is "SSU rRNA". It matches the Rfam family "Eukaryotic small subunit ribosomal RNA", at positions 548 to 1098 of the family's 1831-position model. Lineage: Eukaryota; Fungi; Glomeromycota. The record is from RNAcentral.